RNAcentral lists this ribosomal RNA (427 nucleotides) under Acidobacteriota bacterium. Its description in RNAcentral is "Acidobacteria bacterium partial 16S ribosomal RNA". It matches the Rfam family "Bacterial small subunit ribosomal RNA", at positions 355 to 776 of the family's 1533-position model. Lineage: Bacteria; Pseudomonadati; Acidobacteriota. The record is from RNAcentral.
UGGGGAAUUUUGGACAAUGGGGGAAACCCUGAUCCAGCCAUCCCGCGUGUGCGAUGAAGGCCUUCGGGUUGUAGCACUUUUGGCAGGAAAGAAACGUCAUGGGUUAAUACCCCGUGAAACUGACGGUACCUGCAGAAUAAGCACCGGCUAACUACGUGCCAGCAGCCGCGGUAAUACGUAGGGUGCAAGCGUUAAUCGGAAUUACUGGGCGUAAAGCGUGCGCAGGCGGUUCGGAAAGAAAGAUGUGAAAUCCCAGAGCUCAACUUUGGAACUGCAUUUUUAACUACCGGGCUAGAGUGUGUCAGAGGGAGGUGGAAUUCCGCGUGUAGCAGUGAAAUGCGUAGAUAUGCGGAGGAACACCGAUGGCGAAGGCAGCCUCCUGGGAUAACACUGACGCUCAUGCACGAAAGCGUGGGGAGCAAACAGG